GGGGGUGCUUAGUUUGCGACUGAAAUUAAAAUCAGAAUGAAAAUCAGAAUGGAUUAGAAUCAGAAUCGGAAUAGUCAAAUCUCUCGAAGUUUUGAUUCGUGACUGAAAUCGAAAUGAAAAUUUUAAUCCGUAGAGGAGGUGGGGAUUGAGUUCUAGAUAGAUUGGAUAAUUCCUAUUCUAUAUCGGAAUCGAAAUUGGAAUAGAAUUUCUUCUAACCAAACGGCUGGAAUGAGAGUCACCUAUUCUUAUUUCG
Molecule: long non-coding RNA, 253 nt
Filed under: Elaeis guineensis (African oil palm)
Lineage: Eukaryota; Viridiplantae; Streptophyta; Magnoliopsida; Arecales; Arecaceae
Description: long non-coding RNA (EGUI_LNC002520)
Source: RNAcentral